Molecule: ribosomal RNA, 517 nt
Filed under: Fusarium verticillioides
Lineage: Eukaryota; Fungi; Ascomycota; Sordariomycetes; Hypocreales; Nectriaceae
Description: eukaryotic LSU rRNA
Rfam family: 5.8S ribosomal RNA (bases 150-303)
Source: RNAcentral
GGGGCAUCGAGUUCACUCCCAACCCCUGUGACAUACCAAUUGUUGCCUCGGCGGAUCAGCCCGCUCCCGGUAAAACGGGACGGCCCGCCAGAGGACCCCUAAACUCUGUUUCUAUAUGUAACUUCUGAGUAAAACCAUAAAUAAAUCAAAACUUUCAACAACGGAUCUCUUGGUUCUGGCAUCGAUGAAGAACGCAGCAAAAUGCGAUAAGUAAUGUGAAUUGCAGAAUUCAGUGAAUCAUCGAAUCUUUGAACGCACAUUGCGCCCGCCAGUAUUCUGGCGGGCAUGCCUGUUCGAGCGUCAUUUCAACCCUCAAGCCCAGCUUGGUGUUGGGACUCGCGAGUCAAAUCGCGUUCCCCAAAUUGAUUGGCGGUCACGUCGAGCUUCCAUAGCGUAGUAGUAAAACCCUCGUUACUGGUAAUCGUCGCGGCCACGCCGUUAAACCCCAACUUCUGAAUGUUGACCUCGGAUCAGGUAGGAAUACCCGCUGAACUUAAGCAUAUCAAAAGGCGGAGGA